Molecule: ribosomal RNA, 460 nt
Filed under: uncultured bacterium
Lineage: Bacteria
Description: partial 16S ribosomal RNA
Rfam family: Bacterial small subunit ribosomal RNA
Source: RNAcentral
CCUACGGGAGGCAGCAGUGAGGAAUAUUGGUCAAUGGACGAGAGUCUGAACCAGCCACGUAGCGUGAAGGAUGACUGCCCUAUGGGUUGUCAACUUCUUUUAUAUGGGAAUAACAUGUUCCACGUGUGGGAGUUUGUAUGUACCAUAUGAAUAAGGAUGGGCUAACUCCGUGCCAGCAGUCGCAGUAAUACGUAGGAUCCGAGCGUUAUCCGGAUUUAUUGGGUUUAAAGGGAGUGUAGGUGGGUUGUUAAGUCAGUUGUGAAAGUUUGCGGCUCAACCGUAAAAUUGCAGUUGAAACUGGCAGUCUUGAGUACAGUAGAGGCGGGCGGAAUUCGUGGUGUAGCGGUGAAAUGCGUAGAUAUCACGAAGAACUCCGAUUGCGAAGGCAGCUCACUGGACUGCAACUGACACUGAGGCUUGAAAGUGUGGGUAUCAAACAGGAUUAGAUACCCCUGUAGUC